This 549-nucleotide ribosomal RNA is filed under the name uncultured bacterium. RNAcentral's name for it is "bacterial SSU rRNA". It matches the Rfam family "Bacterial small subunit ribosomal RNA", at positions 338 to 909 of the family's 1533-position model. The record is from RNAcentral.
CCUACGGGAGGCAGCAGUGAGGAAUUUUCCGCAAUGGGCGAAAGCCUGACGGAGCAAUACCGCGUGAGGGAUGAAGGAUUUUGGUCUGUAAACCUCUUUUCUCAAGAAAGAAGUUCUGACGGUACUUGAGGAAUAAGCAUCGGCUAACUCCGUGCCAGCAGCCGCGGUAAUACGGGGGAUGCAAGCGUUAUCCGGAAUGAUUGGGCGUAAAGCGCCUGUAGGUUGUUUAUUAAGUCCGUUGUUAAAGCCUAGGGCUUAACCCUAGAAAAGCAAUGGAAACUAGUAGACUAGAGUAUGGCAGGGGUAGAGGGAAUUUCUAGUGUAGCGGUGAAAUGCGUAGAUAUUAGAAAGAACACCGGUGGCGAAAGCGCUCUACUGGACCAUUACUGACACUCAGAGGCGAAAGCUAGGGUAGCAAAAGGGAUUAGAUACCCCUGUAGUCCUAGCCGUAAACGAUGGAUACUAGAUGUUGUGCAUUAUGUACAGUAUCGUAGCUAACGCGUUAAGUAUCCCGCCUGGGGGUACGCUCGCAAGGUGAACUCAAGGAUG